This is a long non-coding RNA of Sander lucioperca (pikeperch), 988 nucleotides long. RefSeq lists it as uncharacterized. The transcript has 3 exons. The record is from RefSeq and is a predicted model, not a curated record. Lineage: Eukaryota; Metazoa; Chordata; Actinopteri; Perciformes; Percidae.
CCCUUCUUCCCGUAGGUGAUGUCCACCUCUUUGGGCUCCGGUUUCCUCUGUAGCUGAAUCAGAUGAACAAACAUUUUGUUAACAGCCAUUUCAAGUGGACACCGGAUCGACAACUACGAAGCCCCUGAUGCUUUUGGAUCAACAAGUUAAUUCACACAUUUCUGUGGACAGCAUUCAAAGGGGACACUGAACGCUGCAGGUUGGACAAACAGCUGAUACAAACGCCAAUAAAUAUGAUAUAAAACCUAAAUCCUUCGGAUCUUCACUCCUCACUCGAUGCACCAUUAAUUCAUUCAGCCAAAAGGUCUCUUUUUGAUCAAUUGACCGUGGUUUCAUUUAUCCGUCAGCUCUCUCAAACCAGUGGCAUACUUUAAUGCCAUUAUCACAGCAGUACCUGAAAAUAAUCUUGACAUGAUUGUGUGUUUCCAUGGCAACCAUGCCAACGUCUGUAGCCAGUUUUUCUCCCUGGUUCCUGUCUACAUAUAUAAUUACCACCACAGAUUACAGCACCAAGACUGCAGAAAUGAGUGGAGAAAACGGCUUCAGCCGCACACUGCGUCCAUAUGUGAUCUAACGGUGUGACACCUUAUACUUCUUGUGCUGAUGGGAAUUAAAAUAGAGCUACAUAAAGUGUAAAUUAGCAUAAAAUCAAAUAAUCUCUGGGUCUAUGAUAAAAGAAAUGCUGCCAUUAUUUAGGUGUAGCCUAUGUACAGUAUAUAUCAGAAUACGAUAAAUGUUUGCAAAUUAAAUUUGAAAUUGAUGUUGAAUGUAAUGCACUCUGUUUAACUCCGACAAUAUGUAUUAUACUAGAACAUACUAGAGCUGAAAGGAUUAGUGUUUUUGGAACUAAAACUAUCAGCAACUCAGUACUGUGUUUUGGGGUUUUGGACCAAUCCAAACAAUGAAUCCUGAAAAUAAAAUAAUUAAUCGAUUAGUCUUCUAUGAUAUUAAACUAAAUAUCUUUGAGUUUAGGACUCUUGGUCACACA